AUGCUCACUUCGGCAGCACAUAUACUAAAAUUGGAAUGGUAGAGAAGACAGCAUGGCCCCUGAGCAAGGACAACAUGGAAAUUCGUGAAGCGUCCCAUAUUUAA
This is a small nuclear RNA of Hyaena hyaena (striped hyena), 104 nucleotides long. The record is from RefSeq and is a predicted model, not a curated record. Lineage: Eukaryota; Metazoa; Chordata; Mammalia; Carnivora; Hyaenidae.